GAGUUUGAUCUUGGCUCAGAUUGAACGCUGGCGGCAUGCCUUACACAUGCAAGUCGAACGGCAGCACGGGAGCUUGCUCCUGGUGGCGAGUGGCGAACGGGUGAGUAAUGCAUCGGAACGUAUCCUGGAGUGGGGGAUAACGUAGCGAAAGUUACGCUAAUACCGCAUAUUCUGUGAGCAGGAAAGCGGGGGACCUUCGGGCCUCGCGCUCUUGGAGCGGCCGAUGUCGGAUUAGCUAGUUGGUGAGGUAAAGGCUCACCAAGGCGACGAUCCGUAGCAGGUCUGAGAGGAUGAUCUGCCACACUGGAACUGAGACACGGUCCAGACUCCUACGGGAGCAGCAGUGGGAAUUUGGACAAUGGGGGCAACCCUGAUCCAGCCAUGCCGCGUGAGUGAAGAAGGCCUCGG
Molecule: ribosomal RNA, 408 nt
Filed under: bacterium enrichment culture clone ALO1_GLFRUDD03GKWIU
Lineage: Bacteria
Description: bacterial SSU rRNA
Rfam family: Bacterial small subunit ribosomal RNA
Source: RNAcentral